Long non-coding RNA from Salvelinus namaycush (lake trout), 205 nucleotides. RefSeq lists it as uncharacterized. The transcript has 3 exons. NCBI's taxonomy places the organism in Eukaryota, Metazoa, Chordata, Actinopteri, Salmoniformes, Salmonidae. The record is from RefSeq and is a predicted model, not a curated record.
UCUAUUUCAGUACCGACACUCUAAAAAGUCAGGUAAACAAUACUUUCCUGUGGAUAUUUAGUCUCAAAUUUUGAGCAGCUGAAGGACCAACCGCACAGACAACCCAGAGUAAAUUUUAUCCCAGUAAAGGCAUACCGUAGAAAACAAAUGAUGAGCUGUGAAACAGAACCUGAGCCCUAGGACCAUACGUCAGGACUACCGGGCA